Molecule: long non-coding RNA, 1544 nt
Organism: Sinocyclocheilus grahami
Lineage: Eukaryota; Metazoa; Chordata; Actinopteri; Cypriniformes; Cyprinidae
Exons: 7
Source: RefSeq, a predicted model, not a curated record
GUUCAAUCAGCUCCCUGAUGUCAAAGCGUUCAUCAAGGGUCUUUGAGAAAGAACUGUCUUCCCAGCACCUCGACAGAUGCUGUCAUACAAGCGAAGAGACGUCUGAGUCCUUCGGAGAAAUGCAUACUGUGUUUGCCCAUCUGAAGCGGAUCUAGUCCAAAUGCAGAACGUGUCAGCACUGAAACAAGCAUGAAACAGCAUGAAAAGGGGUCAGAAUAGCCAUUCGAGUCCAUUGCUGCCAGAUGAACACAUCGAACUACACCCACAAUCAGACGACUCUGCUGGCUGUUGUAGGUGAGAGAAAUCAGAAUACGUCCCCUCUCCUCUGCCUCUUCAUCGUCCUUCAACUGGAAAAAAAGCCACACAAAAGAUGAGUAAACCCAUAUAUCUUCCUGUGGACACUAAUUAACAGAUCAAUCAUUAGCUGAACCAUUUAACCAAAGUGACUUGUAAUGCACACAGAUGUACAGAUGCAGUUCAACAAGGAGACACGGAGGUUAAAUGCCUGACUCGACAGCUACCAGCUACUAUGCUUUCUUGGGAAUACUUCAGUGUUUCGUGGAAAAGAUAGACGCUGGAGGUUUGGAGCUCAUCACCGGUACUUCUCUCUUCACCACAGGGCUCUUUGGGAUAUGACCGAAUGCUCGUCCCGUUUAGGGGGCAUCGUUUCUGCUGAGCGCAGGAGAAAACGGGAAAAUGAUACUGCAAUCCACCUGUGAAUCUCAUCUCAGCCAAUUACCAUCCACAUAAGCAUCAGCUGGGAGCUGGAAUGGCUGGAAUAUGAAAAUGCAGGAACUCAGUUCUGCCCUGGUGUUAUGAAGUAAAAUGUCAGCGACUCAAAUGGGAUUCGGGCUUCAUGAUCUUGUUGCAUUAAAGAGAGUCACAUCUCCUGCUGCUACUGACCCCGUCUGACAAGGAAACUAACCGUGACUUACAUCGUCAAAAGGAUGAAUCAUCUUAUCACAGUCAAAGUGUCUUUGAAAGUUAGAGGUGCUGAACUAUCCUGUCUAUUUAUAUCUCUGAGCUACAUGCAGAAUAAUUAUUCUGUGCAGCCAGUUAAAUAUUAUUUAUACGCAGAGCAUUUUUUAGGAGUUGAUUUAAAAAUGUUGUAGAAAUGGAUUUCUUUAAUCCAACAUGCACAUCGCUGCAUAAGCAUUGACUGCUCAGCUGCCAAAACAAAUGAUCUCAUCAUCAAUGCCAGAUUUUGCACAGCCAUAUUGGACUGGAACGACUGACGCUUUGAACGCCACACUUAGUGCACAUGUUCUGUGGGGGUGAAACACAAACAGGCCUCAGGAGGCUGCGCAGGUGUAAACGCACUCAGAUGGCAUUAAGUUCCAUCACUGCUGAAAAACAGCCCACAGACUAAACAUCCCCUCCGGGAUCAAUAAACAAUCUAUUGAUCUUUGUGUCGGGCGUCACAAGAGACAAGCAUAUGCAUUCCGUGACAUUAUUUUUGAUUGUGCAGACUGAUUGGCAUCCCUCUUAAAUGCACACGUGGCUCAGUAAUGGGCAGGGCAUAAUAAAGAUAAGUGCAUAUCGCU